Molecule: long non-coding RNA, 1763 nt
Organism: Cyanistes caeruleus (blue tit)
Lineage: Eukaryota; Metazoa; Chordata; Aves; Passeriformes; Paridae
Source: Ensembl
GAUGGCGCCGGGACAGGAGGUGACACCGCUGGGGACAGGAGGGGACAGGAGGUGGCACCGCUGGGGACAGGGGGAGGCCGCAAAGGCAGGAACGGGAGAGACGCGGGAAAUCGGGAAUUGUCGGGGAAUUGUCGGGAAUUUAUCCGGGAAUUAUUGGGAAUUUAUUCGGGAAUUGUCGGGAAUUUAUCCGGGAAUUUAUCCGGGAAUUGUCGGGAAUUUAUCCGGGAAUUUAUUCGGGAAUUGUUCGGGAAAUCGGGAAUUGUCGGGGGAUUUAUUCGGGAAUUGUCGGAAAUUAUUCGGGAAUUGUCGGGAAUUUAUCCGGGAAUUUAUUCGGGAAUUGUCGGGAAUUUAUCCGGGAAUUUAUUCGGGAAUUGUUCGGGAAAUCGGGAAUUAUCGGGGGAUUUAUUCGGGAAUUGUCGGGAAUUUAUCCGGGAAUUGUCGGGGAAUUUAUUCGGGAAUUAUUGGGAAUUUAUUCGGGAAUUAUUGGGAAUUUAUUCGGGAAUUGUCGGGGGAUUUAUCCGGGAAUUAUUGGGAAUUUAUUCGGGAACUGUUCGGGAAAUCGGGAAUUGUCGGGGAAUUUAUUCCUGACGUUUUUCGGGGAUUACUCGGGAAAUUCAGGAAUUAUUCGGGAAUUUUUCGGGAGUUAUUCGUGAUUUUUUUUCGGGAAUUUAUCCGGGAAUUUAUUCGGGAAUUAAUUCGGGAAUUACUCGGGAAAUUCGGGAAUUCUUUGGGAAUUAUUCGGGAAUUACCCGGGAAUUAUUAGUGAUUUUUUUCGGGAAUUUUUUCGGGAAUUAUUCGGGAAAUCGGGAAUUGUCGGGGAAUUUAUUCCUGACAUUUUUCGGGAAUUCUUUGGGAAUUAUUCGUGAUUUUUUUCGGGAAUUUUUUCGGGAAUUGUUUGGGAAAUCGGGAAUUUAUUCGGGGAUUCUUUGGGAAUUACUCGGGAAUUAUUCAGGAGUUUAUUCGGGAAUUAUUUGGGAAUUAUUUGGGAACAAUUCGGGAAUUAUUCGGGAAUUGUUCGGGAAUGGGAACAACACAAGGGCGGGGCCGGGGAGGAACCGGAAAUUCGGGAAUUUGGGAAUUCGGGAACAACGCAAAGGGCGGGGCCGGGAAAUUCGGGGCCACGGAGCGACCUUGGAAUGUCGGGGAGGGGCCCGGGAAUUUGGGGAAUUAUCCGGGAAUUAUUCGGGAUUUAUUUGGGAAUUUAUCGGGAAUUAUUCGGGAAUUAUUUGGGAAUUAUUUGAGAGUUAUUUGGGAAUUCUUUGGGAAUUAUUCGGGAAUUCUUUGGGAAUUAUUUGGGAAUUUUUCGGGAAUUAUUUUGGGAUUAUUUGGGAAUUUGGGGACAAGGACAGAGGGACAGGGUCCCCAAAAUGGGGGGAGGGGUCCCCAUGUGUGCCCGGGUGGAUUUUGGGGUUCCCGAGUGAAUUUUUGGGGUUCCCGAGUGGAUUUUUGGGGUUCCCGAGUGAAUUUUUGGGGAUCCCGAGUGGAUUUUUGGGGUUCCCGGGUGAAUUUUUGGGGUUCCCGAGUGGAUUUUUGGGGUCCCCGGGUGGAUUUUUGGGGAUCCCGGGUGAAUUUUUGGGGUCCCCGGGUGGAUUUUGGGGUUCCCGAUUGGAUUUUGGGGUCCCCGAUUGGAUUUUGGGGUUCCCGAUUGGAUUUUUGGGGUCCCCGGGUGGAUUUCGGGGUUCCCGAUUGGGUUUUUGGGGUCCCCGGGUGGAUUUUUGGGGUUCCCGAUUGGAUUUUUGGGGUUCCCGAGUGAAUUUUUGGGG